This 850-nucleotide ribosomal RNA is filed under the name uncultured bacterium. Its description in RNAcentral is "bacterial SSU rRNA". It matches the Rfam family "Bacterial small subunit ribosomal RNA", at positions 76 to 943 of the family's 1533-position model. The record is from RNAcentral.
GAGCUUGCUCCUUCUGAUCAGUGGCGAACGGGUGAGUAACACGUGAGUAACCUGCCCCAGACUCUGGAAUAACAGUUGGAAACAGCUGCUAAUACCGGAUACGAGACGGAGAGGCAUCUCUACCGUCUGGAAAGUUUUUCGGUCUGGGAUGGACUCGCGGCCUAUCAGCUUGUUGGUGAGGUAGUGGCUCACCAAGGCUAUGACGGGUAGCUGGUCUGAGAGGAUGACCAGCCAGAGGGAAACUGAGGCACGGUUCCCACUCCUACGGGAGGCAGCAGUAAAGAAUCUUCCGCAAUGGACGAAAGCCUGACGGAGCGACGCCGCGUGCAGGAUGACGGCCUUCGGGUUGUAAACUGCUUUUCUGAGAGAAUAAUUCUGAAGGUAUCUCAGGAAUAAGCACCGGCAAAUCUCGUGCCAGCAGCCGCGGUAAUACGAGAGGUGCAAACGUUAUCCGGAAUCAUUGGGCGUAAAGCGUCCGCAGGUGGCGCAGAAAGUAGGGUAUUAAAUCUUGAGGCUCAACUUCAAGGCUGUGCCCUAAACUUCUGUGCUAGAGAUGAGGAGAGGUGAAUGGAAUUCUACAUGUAGGGGUAAAAUCCGUAGAUAUGUAGAGGAACACCAAAAGCGAAGGCAGUUCACUGGCCUCCAUCUGACACUCAUGGACGAAAGCGUGGGUAGCGAACGGGAUUAGAUACCCCGGUAGUCCACGCCGUAAACGAUGAUCACUCGGUGUUGGGAGUUCGACCCUCUCAGUGCCUAAGUUAACACGAUAAGUGACCCGCCUGAGUAGUACGAUCGCAAGAUUAAAACUCAAAGGAAUAGACGGGGACCCACACAAGCGGUGGAGCGUGUG